CUGGGUGGCAGAUUUUGAGAGCAGCCAGUCCAGACUGCAGCAAGGGGAGAGAGAGCUCCAGGAAGGAUAUCUUCCAAAAAAGGGUUUACGCUGGCAGAACAUAUGGAGAGGAGAUUUCCAUUUCUGAAGCAGGGUUUGGGAUGAUUUCAGUAGAGGCACAGUCUCGCUCUGUCACCCAGGCUGGAGUGAAGUGGUCCAAUCUCAGCUCGCUGCAACUUCUGCCUCCCAGGUUCAAGCAAUUCUCUGCCUCAGCCUCCUGAGUAGCUGAGAUUACAGAUGUGCUUGCUUCACCUUAGCCCUUCUGCCAUGAUUGUAAGCUUCCUAAGCCUCCCCAGCAAUGCCUCCUCUACAGCCUGUGGAACUGCUGAUAGGCAGAAGUGACGUGCCUUGUGUCAGAUGAGACUUUGGACUUGGACUUUUGAGUUAAUGCUGGAAUGAACAUGCUUGCUUCCCCUUUGUCCUUCUGCCAUGAUUGUGAGUUUCCUGAGGCCUCCCCAACCAUGCAUCCUGCACAGCUUGUGGAACUAGACUCAACUGUGUGGGUUAAGACUUGGCCAUGGCACACCAAGGAUACCCCGUCUCUGCUCUGCAAUGUCUGAGGAUUCAGCUGGAAGACUUGAGAACUGGAGGAUGGGAUCAACUGAAGGCUCAUUAAUUCACUCAUCUAUCCUGGUUCCAGAAGCAGAUGGGCAGACAAGGAGACAAGCAGAGGAAUGUCAAAAUGCUGCGGCAGAAAGAGAGAAGAGGAGGAAUGUCUCAACACUAAGAGUUUAGCCCGGGGCGGUUCAGCUGCCGGAAGGCCAAACUCCAGGAGAAGCCCAUCUUCCUACUCCGUCCUCCCUUCAGGUUCUCCAUCCAUCCUGCUGAGAGCCACCUCCGCCAUUCAGUAAGACCCCCACAUUUAUCCUUCAAGUGCAUGUGUGACCCAGUUCUUCCAGGAUGCUGGACAAGAGCUUGGGAUACAUAAAGCUGUCACACUGGCCCUCUGCCCUUGCUCGCUAACACUCAAGCCAUUCGCAGACGGCUAAAAGAGCACAUUGUAACACGUGCCCACUUGGACUCCUGCACCUGCCCAUCUGCAUGCUUUCCAUCCUGUAAGGGGUUUGAGUGGUGUCAGCAAUCUAACAGACAAGCCACACCCUUGUUUCACGUCCUGUGAGAGGGGUCAGGGAACUCUUCUGUUUCAUCAUUACCCAACUUUGGAACUCAAGAAAGGACUCACAGGGAAAUUCUUGCAGAAUCUCGUGGAAAAUCUCACAUGUAUUUGUGAAAAUACAAUGUGGAUCUGUGAGAUCCCACUUCAACACAGGCCACGGGGCCACCUUCUGCACCCACAUGGGUUGUUUUAAGUCUUCCUUAGUCUCCUUGAGAAUAACAUGAUGCUAUGAUGUUGGCAGGAAUCUUCCACACCUUCCAAAACAUGACAAUAUGGGUCAAGCCCGUGCAGAGACUGUGGCUCCUGCUUUGGGAGUCACCUGGAAUUGUUGAGAGAUUAGCAAAUCCCAGAACCAGGUUUGUUAGAAUUAACUGCUCAACCAGAUUGUAUUGAAAAUGGUCUGAAGUCAAAGACGACAGACGCAAACGGGCUAAAUUGCUCAGUUAAUUCUUCCAUUUCUCUUCCUCCUAGUUGUUCUAGCUUCAGGGAGGACUCAGGAGAGUACUGUUUGAAAACCACUGAUCUAGUUUACACUUUCAUUUUACAGAGAGGAAACUGAGAGCCACAGAGAUUCAAGUGACUCAUCCAAGAUGACCCAAACCCUGGGGUUUGUUAUUGUUUUUCACACUAUGCAAAGCACUAAAAAACAUUCGUUUGAAACAGGUGAACAAAAGUCUAAUUUGUAGUGAGGUCUAGGGGAAUGACUGUCCAGUCAAUUCCUCAAUUCAUGAAGGAGCAUUUGGGACGCCACAGAGGAACAUACACAGGUAUCCCUCCUCCUACCCGACACCAUUCAGGAAGAGCGGUUACCCCUCCAAUGCACUGAAGCAGAUUCAUUUCCCUCAGGACUGUGGGAGGCGACUGAGGCUGAGUGAAUGAUACAGCCUUUUAAUUUGUUUUUAAUUGUCGUGUCCUGGUAACCCUUCCAAAGACCCUUCACGGAGAGUAGUUUUAUUUUUCCACUUAUUAACCGCAUUCACUAGACUGGAAAAAGAAUUCCCUAUCUCCCAAGAACUCUCCCUUUCAUUCUUGUAAUUCCUUUUUUUUUUUUUUUUUUUUUAGCACCAGGAAAGUAAUGUGUGUAAAACUAGAGCCAAG
Molecule: long non-coding RNA, 2254 nt
Filed under: Homo sapiens (human)
Lineage: Eukaryota; Metazoa; Chordata; Mammalia; Primates; Hominidae
Description: LHRI_LNC950.2
Source: RNAcentral